UACGUAGGGGGCAAGCGUUGUCCGGAAUUAUUGGGCGUAAAGGGUGCGUAGGCGGCGCGGUAAGUCGGGUGUGAAAUCUCGGAGCUCAACUCCGAAACUGCAUUCGAUACUGCCGUGCUUGAGGACUGGAGAGGAGACUGGAAUUUACGGUGUAGCGGUGAAAUGCGUAGAUAUCGUAAGGAAGACCAGUGGCGAAGGCGGGUCUCUGGACAGUUCCUGACGCUGAGGCACGAAGGUCAGGGGAGCAAACGGG
This 253-nucleotide ribosomal RNA is filed under the name uncultured bacterium. RNAcentral's name for it is "partial 16S ribosomal RNA". It matches the Rfam family "Bacterial small subunit ribosomal RNA", at positions 524 to 776 of the family's 1533-position model. The record is from RNAcentral.